Molecule: long non-coding RNA, 2929 nt
Filed under: Sus scrofa (pig)
Lineage: Eukaryota; Metazoa; Chordata; Mammalia; Artiodactyla; Suidae
Description: lncRNA (ENSSSCG00000059161.1)
Source: RNAcentral
UUCUAGGCUAGGGGCUGAAUCAGAGCUGCAGCUACUGCAACGCAGGAUCUGAGCCACGUCAGCAACCUAUACCAUGGCAACACCAGAUUCUUAACUCCUUGAGCAAGGCCAGGGAUCAAACCCGCAUCCUCAUGGAUACUUGUUGGGUUCUUAACCGGUUGAGCCACGACAGGAAGUCCUAUUUUGCUUUCAUCUUUAGAUCAGUUGAAGAGAAAAAUCAUUCAUUUAAAAAAUAAAAAACACGGAGUUGCCAUUGUGGCUCAGUGGGUUAAGAACCUGACUAGUAUGCAUGAGGAUGAAGGUUCAAUCCCUGGCCUUGCUCAGUUGGGUUAAGGAUCUGGUAUUGCCCCGAGCUGCUCGCAGUGUAGGCCGAAGAUGCUGGGUGGCAUUGCUGUGGCUGUGGUAUAGACUGCCAGCUGCAGCUCUGAUUCGACCCCUAGGCUGGGAACUUCCAUAUGCUGCAGGUGCAGCCCUAAGAAGAAAAUAAAUAAAUAAAUAAAUAUUAAAAAACAAAAAUAAUUUUGGUCCGUCUACUAAAUAGCUUAAAACAUUUUAAUUUUUAAUUGUAGCAGACAUUAAUGUUAAGGGAAAACAAACACAAAACAAACAAAACAACAAUAAAAAGUGGGUAUCGAUCCCCAUGGCAGAAAGUUCUCAAGCACAAUUGUCGAUCUCACAUAACAUACUUACUUUGCAUUGUCACUGAGGAUACUGGUAAGAGGAACUUUUCUUUAAAACCAGAAGACAAAAAUAGAGCUCAGAGACCAGAUUUUGAUUUUGAGAAAUAAAACAAACCCUGGAAGUAUUUUAAGCCAUAGGUAAUUUCAAAUGAAUAGGAAAAAUUACCUCUGCUUGUGUCAUGAGAAAAUAAACAUUCAGAAGUUACUCAGAAGAAAAUUUCAUGCAGUUAUGUUUAAAGUUAAACAUCUCAAAGCAAAUACUUUGCUUUUUCAUAGUAAAUGUUUAUCCCAUGAGCGAUAAAAGAGAAAAUGUAUGUAAAAACCUUAGUAUAGUCAGAGUUCCCUGGUGGCCUAGGACUUGGCAUUGUUACUGUUGUGGCUCAAAACACUGCUAUGUCUCAAGUUCAGUCCCUGUCAAGGCACUUCUAUUGGUGCAGCUAAAACAAACAAACACCCCUUAGUAUAGUGCCUGGCACUUUAACCAACCCAGAAUAUCAAUUAAUUCACUAAACAAAUGUUUACAGAAUGCUUACUGGGUGCUGGACUGCCUGCUCGGUGUUAAGGAUGCCAUGGGGAAUGGGACAGAUGAGAUCCCUGCCCGUAUGGAGCUUAUAGUUUAGUGAAAAAGACAAUAAACAUAAACACAUAGAUUAAAUAAAUAAGGUGUGUGACCAGGAACAGCAGAGAGGACCUAUGUUAGCUGGGGGAGUCAUGGAAGGCUUCGCCACAGCCUGAGGGAUGAGAAGGAGCCAGUGGAGCCAAGGUUUGUUUAAGGUAGAGGAAACUGGAUCGCUGGCUUAGAGAUUGGGUUCUAUCCACUGUCAGAGGCCAUCAGGGCAAGGCUCCUCCUUGCCUUUUUAUAGCCGUUGUCCUUCUGUUAACCUGGCCACUAAGAAUAAGCUCAGACUGUGCCUGUGACUUUCCAUCCUCAUCAAUCUUUUGCAAAUGAAAUUCAAUGGCCAAUCAAUACAAUCACCUCCUUGAAUAUGCCCUCAACUCCCUUAUCCAUCUCAUGGUACUUUACUCCACUGCCCCAACCCACACUUGUUAAAUCCUACUGUCCACGGCCCGCCAUGUCUGCACCCACAGAGUGUAGCCGAAGAACACAUGUAACCUCACUGACUGGUCUCACUUUGGUUCCUAGAGGCCCUCAUGCAGGCCAGCAAUCUUAGGUGGUUUCCCUGGUCCUUCUCUCCCCAUCUCUCCUCACACAUUGAAGAAGACAGAGGAUGGAGCAUUAUGACCCGUGCCCUUCCGGACCAGGUGGAUAAAAGAGGAGCAGCCCUUGAAUCCAAGCACACUUAGCCCCAGCUACCCUCCUGCCACUCUUUUCACCAACACCAUGUCAUCCCACACCCCAAAGCACAGUUCCCCUUUCUAGAAACAUAUUCUUAUUCAGUUACACCCACAAGAUCUGUUCAGAGAAUCAAGGAGCAGCUGACUUUGGUGGUUGACAGGAGCCUAUAGCAAAGGAGUGGAGGUACACAAGACAGGGACAUUUUUUACUAAUUGCCCCAUUAAUCUUGGGCUAAUCAUCAGUUUCUGUCUCUGAGGUUUGCAUACAUGAUGAUGCAUAAGAGACUUUUUUCUUUUUUUUUUCUUUUUAGGGCCACACCUGUGGCACACAGAAGUUCCCAGGCUAGAGGUCAAAUUGGAGCUGCAGCUGCUGGCCUACACCACAGCCACAGCAUUACCAGAUUGGAGCAACAUCUGCAGCCUAUAAAGCAGGUCACAGCAACACCGGAUACUUAACCCACCGAGUGAGGCCAGAGACUGAACCUGUAUCUUUAUGGAUACUAAUUGGGUUCUUAACUCCCUGAGCCACAACAGGAACUCCAAGGAGACUAUCUUAAAAGUGCGAGAGUACUAAGUGAUCCGCAAACUAUAAUCCAAUAUUUAUAAUUCAAUAAAUUUUAUUAGCAUCAUAGAGAUAAAAUUUUGCAGAAACUGAAUGUAUCUGGUUAUUAAUCAGUCACAGUAACUUGAAGAAUAGCAAGCCUUCUUUUCACAGUUUUUUUCUUUCUCUCUAGUACACGUGUUCACCAUAAAACCACUGCCUAUAGCUUUAAUUUUAAUAGGAUUAGUCUUACAAUUUGGAUAUUACUAUCAAUCUUUUAUUUCUACUCCAAAGAGUGUCAUAAAUCCACCGACAUCCCACCUUGGUUCCUAAAGUUCAAAGUCUUGCACAAUUGCAAAAACAAACCCUUGGUGUUCAGAUUAAAAUCAGAUUUUUUUUCCCUUUGCACAUG